RNAcentral lists this long non-coding RNA (620 nucleotides) under Erythranthe guttata (spotted monkey flower). Its description in RNAcentral is "long non-coding RNA (EGUT_LNC000231)". Lineage: Eukaryota; Viridiplantae; Streptophyta; Magnoliopsida; Lamiales; Phrymaceae. The record is from RNAcentral.
UAAAUUGUAAUUAUCAAAUUGUGGGCUGAAAUCCCUAUUUUGGAAAAAAUAUCGUCUUCCCCAAAAUCCAAAUUCCCACUCUCUGCCAUUGAAAUCACCACCACCAAAUUCCCACCACCACCACCACCACCACCGGCAAUCACCUCGUUAUGCCGCCGCCUCCAAAAUGAGAGAAGAGCAUGUCUUCCCCAAAUUUCUUCUUAUUCCCCAUUGAAAUCGCCACCACCACCUCCGGCCAUCACCUCUUCCCGCCGGACCCACCCCUUUCCUUCUACAACAUGUCUCCGGCGGCGGGGAGUUUGUUCUCCGGCGCGAGUCGGUACGUACUCGACGGAGACGACGACGGCGGCGUCUUCAGUUCCUCCCCCCAACAACUCAGAAUUUCAGCCCUGAAUUAGGUGAGAAAAUCGAAAUUGAACACGAUUCAGAGGGUAAGGAAAUCGAGGAUGGGCUCCAGUGGCCUUGUGUGCCGGCGAUUUUCUUCGGGAGCAAACUCCACCUUAGAGGUUGCGAAAAAUCCCGUUUUAUUUUGAAUUGGGUGGAGCUUUUGACAGAGAUGAAUUGGAUCUCGAUUGGGUUUGAGAUUUGUCAGGCCAGAGAGCGACGGUGGUGCUCGACGG